RNAcentral lists this ribosomal RNA (494 nucleotides) under uncultured bacterium. Its description in RNAcentral is "partial 16S ribosomal RNA". The stretch from base 57 to 494 matches the Rfam family "Bacterial small subunit ribosomal RNA", at positions 35 to 507 of the family's 1533-position model. The record is from RNAcentral.
GGGGGGGGGGGGGGGGGGGGGGGGGGCGGGCGGGGCGGGGGGGGGGGGCGGGGGGGGCUUGUGGGGGGGGGGUACGCGAGGGGCGAACGGGUGGGGAACACGGGAGUGAGCUGCCCCCAACUUGGGGAUAAGCCUGGGAAACUGGGUCUAAUGCCCGAUAGGACUGCAGGGUGGUGCCUGUGGUGGAAAACGAGUUUCUAGCGGGUGGGGAUGAGCUCGCGGCCUAUCGGCCUGGUGGUGGGGUAAUGGCCUACCAAUGCGGCGGCGGGUAGCCGUCCUGAGAGGGUGGACGGCCACAUUGGGACUGAGAUACGGCCCAGACUCCUACGGGAGGCAGCAGUGGGGAAUAGUGCACAAUGGGCGGAAGCCUGAUGCAGCGACGCCGCGUGGGGGAUGACGGCCUUCGGGUGGUAAACGCCUGUCGACCGAGAGGAAGCCACCUGGUUGGAAGGGUGGUGACGGUAGUGGUAGAAGAAGCACCGGCUAACUACGUG